RNAcentral lists this ribosomal RNA (88 nucleotides) under Gammaproteobacteria bacterium. RNAcentral describes it as "partial 16S ribosomal RNA". It matches the Rfam family "Bacterial small subunit ribosomal RNA", at positions 1 to 85 of the family's 1533-position model. Lineage: Bacteria; Pseudomonadati; Pseudomonadota; Gammaproteobacteria. The record is from RNAcentral.
GAUUAAACUGAAGAGUUUGAUCCUGGCUCAGAUUGAACGCUGGCGGUAUGCUUAACACAUGCAAGUCGAACGGAAACGAUGGUAGCUU